UUCUGUUGGCGUGCAAAGUUCAAUCAGAUAUUCUCUGCUGAUGCAGAGGCACAUGUCACAAAGGGGGACACAAGCUGGCUCCAGGUGUGGCCAAAAAAGUGUGCAGUGAUGUUCUCUAGUCUAUUUUUUUUUCCUUUUUCUCUAUUCUGGCUUCUCAAUAUGAUGUCUAGUCUAAUCAAGCAAAUUCACUUAUAAGCAGGUGAAAGUUCAAGAAAGGGGCCUCAGAAGUCUUCUGGUUUGGCCCAUUCCUUUGUGAUGAAGGUUCUAGACAUAGGGACUGGGGUUUGUGUGAGGUCACCCAGGUGAUUGCACAGCGCCAGCCCUCAAAGCCAGGUCUAGGGCUCCAUCCCACUUCCCAAGAUGCCCUGAAGUCUUGAGGUGUCUGCUAGGAAAGCGUUGCAUUACUGGGCCAGGAAAGAAGCUUCAUAUUACAACAGGCUGACAUGUUUUUAGCUCAAGAGUGGAGACUUCUGUCAAUCAUGUGGGAUCAUGAAUGCCUGAAAGGUUGGAGGUCCAUGCGUUGACCAAGAAGAACUCCAGCUGCUUCAGAUUGCUUGAUUGUCACUGAAAAGUACACUCAAUAUGAAGAAGAUUGCAGUUAACUGGAGAUUAAAAUUAGAUGUCUUAAUAAGGCAAAUCAUUUCAACUGUUCCCUGGAUAGUUUGGCCCCGGCAUUCAGCCAAGAAAAACAUCUGUGAUUCAAGAAUCAUGACACAGCCAGGACCUGCCACCCUGCAGCUCAGAGGCUUUCUUUUCUUGCAGACAAGGGUGAAGAAGUUAGAGGUCAGUAUACUCUCAGUCCUCAGGGGCUCCAGCCUGCAGCUCUGUAUUGUCAGCUCGUCAGAGAUGUGGGACAGGGCACACUCUCUGUGGGAGCCGGCAGGAAAACCAGGCUGUGCUCAACAACAAGAGAAACAAAGAAAGCACGAGGGCUGAGCUGAGAGAACCCUGCCAUGAGUCAGCCUGGGGCUCCGAGGGGGCAUAAGGCCAGGCUGAUACACAGACACCGCCUACCCUCUGAGUCCCUGAAAUGGAUUUUUUUUGGGUCCUAUUAGCCAAUAGGAAGUUGCAUACAAAGAACAAAAAUUCCUAGGAUCACCCAUCAAAUCAAGUUAAACCUGGGCUUUUGGUAUACUGUCUUCCCAGCCACUGAGAGAGAUUUCUGUAAAGAAAGCAUUGUUUUGUUGUUUUGUUUAUUUAUUUAGAGACAUGGUCUCUUGUGGGCAGCUGCUAUGGGUUGAAUUGUAUUCCUCAAAAAACAUAUGUUGAAAUCCUAUCUCUAGUAUCUCAGAUUGUGAGCUUACUUGGAAAUAGAAUCUUUGCAGAUUUAGCUAAGUUAAGAUGGGGUCACUGGUACCCUUGUAAAAAAGGCAAAUUUGAACAUACAUGCAGAGGGCAAUGGUGUGGAGACACAGGGAGAACGCUGUGUGAUUACAGAGGAUCACGUGAAGCAGCUACUGCCCCAGAAAGACUAAGGCUUCCAGAAGCCGGGAGAGAGGCCUGGAGCAUUUCCUUCCCUAGCACCCUCAGAGGGAGCACGGCUGUGCCAACACCUUGGGUUUUGGACUCCUGGCCUCCAGAACUGUGAGAAAACAAAUUUCCAUCGUUUUCGGCCACCCAGUUUGUUGUUAUGGCAGCUCUAGAAAAUGAACACAGCAGCAAUGGACAUAGGUUCACUGUAGUUUGUUGUAAAAUUAUUUUGAGAAGACAAUUUUCAGGGUCUCUGAGGAUUUCAUAAAGGUUUUCUAUUUCCCAAGCAAGUUCUCAGGAAACAGCCAGGGAGCCAGACACACAUGCGUACAAAUCUCAGCUUCGCCAUUUAUUAUCUACUUGACGUUGGGCAAGAUCCUAAGUCUCUCUAGAGCAUUCUUCAUCCUUCAAAGAAGGAUAUGAAACUCUCUUCCUAAGGCCAUCUAAAGAGUGAAUGAGGUCGUGUUUUUUAAAUUGUUUAUUGUGUGGCCUCACACAUGGUGGCCCGUCAAGAUGUUAGAUUUCUUUCCUAACAAACAUGAAAGAAGACCCUGCCCUGUAGCAGGCAAGCUGGGUGUUAGCUGAGAGUCUCCAACCUAAUGUCUAUUCAGCAUAAUAAAUAUUAAUAAGUGCAGUAGACACUGCCAGGGCUCUGGCCAGACCCUUGCAGAUCCCUUUAACUGUUUUGUCUGUACUCCCUUGAGUAUGCACCCCACGACUCACACCAGAGACUCUUCUUGGAAGUCUUUUCUCGGGCUACUGGAGCCACUUUUUCCACACUCAGGUUGCUAGAAGUGCCUGUGAGUUUAUAUCCUCUAUCUGGGGCAGUUCAUGGCCAAAGUCUGAAGGAUGCAGGCGUGUGACAGCCCACUUCCUUUGCUUGGAGUCAGGGAAACUCUGAGGCAUAACUCACACUCCUGAGUUCCCCUGUAGGAUCACGCUGGAGCCACAGGACUUUGCCUGAAAGCAUACAUUUGCUUUGCCCAUCCCUACUUCCACAUCAGCCUUCCUGUGAGCAUGUCCUUAAUGAGUCGCUUACAUUCAACUCUGCAAUUAAGAGUCUGCUUCUGGGGCACCUGACCCAAGGCAAUAAGCUACUGAACAUCUCCUGCUGAGAUGCCACAUGAUAUUGAAGUUCUGAUGGUUAAAGCUAAAAAAACAACCUGACCAGACUGCAUUCCAAUCAUUCACUAUUUUAACAGCCAUAAUAAUUAUACUAGUAACCUCUCGUUCAUGUGUCCAAUACAUGCAUUACGUUCAAUUCUAAUCCUCAUAACCAAUGUAUACAUAGGUAGUUUUACCCUUGUAACAGUUUUUUUCAAUGGCCACAAAUUUUUUGAUUCUCCUCCCAUCAAGAGGUAAAGUGUAGGUCCCCUUCCCUUGAAUCCCUUUACUUUUACAGAAAUCUGCUCAAUUUUGAUAAUGUGUCCCUCAGUUCCCAAGAUGUGGCCAUUCUAGGAUAUUCUUUCCCAAGUAAGGACAUUCAGCCAUGUGGGUUGGUUAACCUUAAAUUGCAUCUCUAAUAGACAGUAUAUAGUUAGCUCUUACUUUUAUAACUAGUUUGAUAAUCUCUGCCUUUUGACUAUUUAGUCCAUUUAUAUUUGAUGUGAUUAUUAAUAUAGUUUGAGUUGCUGCUAUUUUGCUAUUUGCUUUUUUUUGUUUCAUUUGAUUUUUGCUUCUCAGUAUCCCCUUUUUCUUGCGUUCUUAUGGUUUCAUAAAAUAUUUGAUUAAAUUUAAAAUUUAGAAUCUCAGAUUUUCUAGGCAAUUGCUCAGGUCAGUGAGCUUCAAACCCAGGAUUGUGAAAACAGUUUAAUUUCUCUGAUAGCAUGUUUUCUCUACUAUCCAUGAUGAUGUUUAUGAAGUCAAUAUCAGGCUGAAUUAUAUUCAAUUGUCAGGUAAAUAAAAUCUUUAGAAGUUAUUAAUUUGGAGUUUACUGAAACAGGAAUUUAUGAUUCUUCACUGUAUGGAGAUGUUUCCAUAUAAUCUAUGUAAAGGAGAAAUUACACAGCAUAAAAUAAAAAACUGGCUAAACCUUAGAGAAGCCAGCCGGCAGGCAAGAAGAAAUUCAGUAAGAAUGGGAAUUAUCACUCACCUCAUUGGUACAAUAUUUUUGGGGCUUAUAAGUGCUCCCUACAAUCAGAUGGCACAUCUGUGAAACAUCUGAUUUGGGGAAAAACUGACAAAAAUGUUUGCUGAUAUUUCUUUAACCUAUUUGUUUUAUAUAAAGUAAACUAAACUUUGUAGUCAUGUCUCCCUGAUCUGCUUGGAUUUGUCUGCUCUGAAAUUACUAUAUUUCUCUUUGUAAUUAAUAAACAUUUUGGGGAACACACU
This 3801-nucleotide long non-coding RNA is filed under the name Homo sapiens (human). RNAcentral describes it as "HSALNT0264964". Lineage: Eukaryota; Metazoa; Chordata; Mammalia; Primates; Hominidae. The record is from RNAcentral.